Molecule: non-coding RNA, 30 nt
Filed under: Homo sapiens (human)
Lineage: Eukaryota; Metazoa; Chordata; Mammalia; Primates; Hominidae
Source: RNAcentral
UAUUGAAAUCAUGGAAGCUGAGGUAGCUUA